UGGACUAUGAUGACAAACCAACAUCAUGAAGAGAGAUGAUGACAUAAAAAUCAUGCUGUGGUUGGGGCUGCUGAGACUU
Molecule: non-coding RNA, 79 nt
Organism: Mesocricetus auratus (golden hamster)
Lineage: Eukaryota; Metazoa; Chordata; Mammalia; Rodentia; Cricetidae
Source: Rfam